This is a non-coding RNA of Nicotiana sylvestris (wood tobacco), 119 nucleotides long. NCBI's taxonomy places the organism in Eukaryota, Viridiplantae, Streptophyta, Magnoliopsida, Solanales, Solanaceae. The record is from Rfam.
GAGAGCGCAGUACAACGGAGAGUUGUAUGUUGCAUUCGGGAAGGAUGAAUCACUCCCGAAAAGGAAUCUAUUGAUUCUCUCCCAAUUUGUUGGAUCGUAGGUGUGAUGAUUUACUUCAC